CCAGGUAAUAACAUGACUAUAUACAGGGAGUACCAGGUAAUAACAUGACUAUAUACAGGGAGUACCAGGUAAUAGCAUGACUAUAUACAGGGAGUACCAGGUAAUAACAUGACUAUAUACAGGGAGUACCAGGUAAUAACAUGACUAUAUACAGGGAGUACCAGGUAAUAACAUGACUAUAUACAGGGAGUACCAGGUAAUAGCAUGACUAUAUACAGGGAGUACCAGGUAAUAACAUGACUAUAUACAGGGAGUACCAGGUAAUAACAUGACUAUAUACAGGGAGUACCAGGUAAUAACAUGACUAUAUACAGGGAGUACCAGGUAAUAACAUGACUAUAUACAGGGAGUACCAGGUAAUAACAUGACUAUAUACAGGGAGUACCAGGUAAUAACAUGACUAUAUACAGGGAGUACCAGGUAAUAACAUGACUAUAUACAGGGAGUACCAGGUAAUAACAUGACUAUAUACAGGGAGUACCAGGUAAUAGCAUGACUAUAUACAGGGAGUACCAGGUAAUAACAUGACUAUAUACAGGGAGUACCAGGUAAUAACAUGACUAUAUACAGGGAGUACCAGGUAAUAGCAUGACUAUAUACAGGGAGUACCAGGUAAUAACAUGACUAUAUACAGGGAGUACCAGGUAAUAACAUGACUAUAUACAGGGAGUACCAGGUAAUAACAUGACUAUAUACAGGGAGUACCAGGUAAUAGCAUGACUAUAUACAGGGAGUACCAGGUAAUAGCAUGACUAUAUACAGGGAGUACCAGGUAAUAACAUGACUAUAUACAGGGAGUACCAGGUAAUAGCAUGACUAUAUACAGGGAGUACCAGGUAAUAGCAUGACUAUAUACAGGGAGUACCAGGUAAUAACAUGACUAUAUACAGGGAGUACCAGGUAAUAACAUGACUAUAUACAGGGAGUACCAGGUAAUAACAUGACUAUAUACAGGGAGUACCAGGUAAUAACAUGACUAUAUACAGGGAGUACCAGGUAAUAACAUGACUAUAUACAGGGAGUACCAGGUAAUAACAUGACUAUA
Molecule: long non-coding RNA, 1045 nt
Organism: Oncorhynchus keta (chum salmon)
Lineage: Eukaryota; Metazoa; Chordata; Actinopteri; Salmoniformes; Salmonidae
Exons: 3
Source: RefSeq, a predicted model, not a curated record